RNAcentral lists this unclassified non-coding RNA (224 nucleotides) under uncultured Gemmatimonadaceae bacterium. RNAcentral describes it as "contains 16S-23S intergenic spacer region". The record is from RNAcentral. Lineage: Bacteria; Pseudomonadati; Gemmatimonadota; Gemmatimonadia; Gemmatimonadales; Gemmatimonadaceae.
UCCGGUUUGACACCGGCAGUCUCCCUAGAGUGCCCGGCUUUACCCGCUGGUAACUAGGGACAAGGGUUGCGCUCGUUGCGGGACUUAACCCAACAUCUCACGACACGAGCUGACGACAGCCAUGCAGCACCUGUGCAGGAUCUCCGAAGAGGGGCUCUCGUUUCUGAGAGCUUGCUCCUGCAUGUCAAGCCUAGGUAAGGUGGGGAUGACGUUUACGUGCACUU